RNAcentral lists this ribosomal RNA (1351 nucleotides) under Salmonella enterica. RNAcentral describes it as "partial 23S ribosomal RNA". It matches the Rfam family "Bacterial large subunit ribosomal RNA", at positions 1589 to 2916 of the family's 2925-position model. The record is from RNAcentral. Lineage: Bacteria; Pseudomonadati; Pseudomonadota; Gammaproteobacteria; Enterobacterales; Enterobacteriaceae.
AGCAACAAAUGCCCUGCUUCCAGGAAAAGCCUCUAAGCAUCAGGUAACAUCAAAUCGUACCCCAAACCGACACAGGUGGUCAGGUAGAGAAUACCAAGGCGCUUGAGAGAACUCGGGUGAAGGAACUAGGCAAAAUGGUGCCGUAACUUCGGGAGAAGGCACGCUGACACGUAGGUGAAGUGAUUUACUCAUGGAGCUGAAGUCAGUCGAAGAUACCAGCUGGCUGCAACUGUUUAUUAAAAACACAGCACUGUGCAAACACGAAAGUGGACGUAUACGGUGUGACGCCUGCCCGGUGCCGGAAGGUUAAUUGAUGGGGUCAGCGCAAGCGAAGCUCCUGAUCGAAGCCCCGGUAAACGGCGGCCGUAACUAUAACGGUCCUAAGGUAGCGAAAUUCCUUGUCGGGUAAGUUCCGACCUGCACGAAUGGCGUAAUGAUGGCCAGGCUGUCUCCACCCGAGACUCAGUGAAAUUGAACUCGCUGUGAAGAUGCAGUGUACCCGCGGCAAGACGGAAAGACCCCGUGAACCUUUACUAUAGCUUGACACUGAACAUUGAGCCUUGAUGUGUAGGAUAGGUGGGAGGCUUUGAAGCGUGGACGCCAGUCUGCGUGGAGCCGACCUUGAAAUACCACCCUUUAAUGUUUGAUGUUCUAACGUGGACCCGUGAUCCGGGUUGCGGACAGUGUCUGGUGGGUAGUUUGACUGGGGCGGUCUCCUCCUAAAGAGUAACGGAGGAGCACGAAGGUUGGCUAAUCCUGGUCGGACAUCAGGAGGUUAGUGCAAUGGCAUAAGCCAGCUUGACUGCGAGCGUGACGGCGCGAGCAGGUGCGAAAGCAGGUCAUAGUGAUCCGGUGGUUCUGAAUGGAAGGGCCAUCGCUCAACGGAUAAAAGGUACUCCGGGGAUAACAGGCUGAUACCGCCCAAGAGUUCAUAUCGACGGCGGUGUUUGGCACCUCGAUGUCGGCUCAUCACAUCCUGGGGCUGAAGUAGGUCCCAAGGGUAUGGCUGUUCGCCAUUUAAAGUGGUACGCGAGCUGGGUUUAGAACGUCGUGAGACAGUUCGGUCCCUAUCUGCCGUGGGCGCUGGAGAACUGAGGGGGGCUGCUCCUAGUACGAGAGGACCGGAGUGGACGCAUCACUGGUGUUCGGGUUGUCAUGCCAAUGGCACUGCCCGGUAGCUAAAUGCGGAAGAGAUAAGUGCUGAAAGCAUCUAAGCACGAAACUUGCCCCGAGAUGAGUUCUCCCUGAGACUUAGAGUCUCCUGAAGGAACGUUGAAGACGACGACGUUGAUAGGCCGGGUGUGUAAGCGCAGCGAUGCGUUGAGCUAACCGGUACUAAUGAACCGUGAGG